GCGGCGGACGGGUGAGUAACACGUGGGUAACCUGCCUGUAAGACUGGGAUAACUCCGGGAAACCGGAGCUAAUACCGGAUAGUUCCUUGAACCGCAUGGUUCAAGGAUGAAAGACGGUUUCGGCUGUCACUUACAGAUGGACCCGCGGCGCAUUAGCUAGUUGGUGAGGUAACGGCUCACCAAGGCGACGAUGCGUAGCCGACCUGAGAGGGUGAUCGGCCACACUGGGACUGAGACACGGCCCAGACUCCUACGGGAGGCAGCAGUAGGGAAUCUUCCGCAAUGGACGAAAGUCUGACGGAGCAACGCCGCGUGAGUGAUGAAGGUUUUCGGAUCGUAAAGCUCUGUUGUUAGGGAAGAACAAGUGCAAGAGUAACUGCUUGCACCUUGACGGUACCUAACCAGAAAGCCACGGCUAACUACGUGCCAGCAGCCGCGGUAAUACGUAGGUGGCAAGCGUUGUCCGGAAUUAUUGGGCGUAAAGGGCUCGCAGGCGGUUUCUUAAGUCUGAUGUGAAAGCCCCCGGCUCAACCGGGGAGGGUCAUUGGAAACUGGGAAACUUGAGUGCAGAAGAGGAGAGUGGAAUUCCACGUGUAGCGGUGAAAUGCGUAGAGAUGUGGAGGAACACCAGUGGCGAAGGCGACUCUCUGGUCUGUAACUGACGCUGAGGAGCGAAAGCGUGGGGAGCGAACAGGAUUAGAUACCCUGGUAGUCCACGCCGUAAACGAUGAGUGCUAAGUGUUAGGGGGUUUCCGCCCCUUAGUGCUGCAGCUAACGCAUUAAGCACUCCGCCUGGGGAGUACGGUCGCAAGACUGAAACUCAAAGGAAUUGACGGGGGCCCGCACAAGCGGUGGAGCAUGUGGUUUAAUUCGAAGCAACGCGAAGAACCUUACCAGGUCUUGACAUCCUCUGACAACCCUAGAGAUAGGGCUUUCCCUUCGGGGACAGAGUGACAGGUGGUGCAUGGUUGUCGUCAGCUCGUGUCGUGAGAUGUUGGGUUAAGUCCCGCAACGAGCGCAACCCUUGAUCUUAGUUGCCAGCAUUUAGUUGGGCACUCUAAGGUGACUGCCGGUGACAAACCGGAGGAAGGUGGGGAUGACGUCAAAUCAUCAUGCCCCUUAUGACCUGGGCUACACACGUGCUACAAUGGACAGAACAAAGGGCUGCGAGACCGCAAGGUUUAGCCAAUCCCACAAAUCUGUUCUCAGUUCGGAUCGCAGUCUGCAACUCGACUGCGUGAAGCUGGAAUCGCUAGUAAUCGCGGAUCAGCAUGCCGCGGUGAAUA
RNAcentral lists this ribosomal RNA (1286 nucleotides) under Bacillus sp. (in: firmicutes). RNAcentral's name for it is "bacterial SSU rRNA". It matches the Rfam family "Bacterial small subunit ribosomal RNA", at positions 95 to 1368 of the family's 1533-position model. Lineage: Bacteria; Bacillati; Bacillota; Bacilli; Caryophanales; Bacillaceae. The record is from RNAcentral.